RNAcentral lists this ribosomal RNA (492 nucleotides) under uncultured bacterium. RNAcentral's name for it is "partial 16S ribosomal RNA". It matches the Rfam family "Bacterial small subunit ribosomal RNA", at positions 29 to 507 of the family's 1533-position model. The record is from RNAcentral.
AGUGAACGCUGGCGGUAGGCCUAACACAUGCAAGUCGAACGGCAGCACAGUAAGAGCUUGCUCUUACGGGUGGCGAGUGGCGGACGGGUGAGGAAUACAUCGGAAUCUACUUUUUCGUGGGGGAUAACGUAGGGAAACUUACGCUAAUACCGCAUACGACCUACGGGUGAAAGCAGGAGAUCUUCGGACCUUGCGCGAUUGAAUGAGCCGAUGUCGGAUUAGCUAGUUGGCGGGGUAAAGGCCCACCAAGGCGACGAUCCGUAGCUGGUCUGAGAGGAUGAUCCGCCACACUGGAACUGAGACACGGUCCAGACUCCUACGGGAGGCAGCAGUGGGGAAUAUUGGACAAUGGGCGCAAGCCUGAUCCAGCCAUACCGCGUGGGUGAAGAAGGCCUUCGGGUUGUAAAGCCCUUUUGUUGGGAAAGAAAAGCAGCAGGUUAAUACCCCGCUGUUCUGACGGUACCCAAAGAAUAAGCACCGGCUAACUUCGUG